UAAAAUGUGCUUCGCUCAUCUGCUGCUGCUACAGAUGAGUAAGGAGUACUGGAGCUCACCAACUGCAUCUUGACCGGGAUCGAUGCCCUCUUCCUCUUCCAUGUUCAUAUCAUCUUGGAUUGCUGCCUGUUCUGAAGUUGGUGCAAUGGAGCUUGGAGCUCCACCUGCUGGACCUGGAGCCUGUUCAGGACCUGAAGUCAGCGGUGAUCUGCA
Triticum aestivum (bread wheat) is the source of this 213-nucleotide long non-coding RNA. RefSeq lists it as uncharacterized. The transcript has 4 exons. The record is from RefSeq and is a predicted model, not a curated record. Lineage: Eukaryota; Viridiplantae; Streptophyta; Magnoliopsida; Poales; Poaceae.